This 253-nucleotide ribosomal RNA is filed under the name uncultured bacterium. RNAcentral describes it as "partial 16S ribosomal RNA". It matches the Rfam family "Bacterial small subunit ribosomal RNA", at positions 524 to 776 of the family's 1533-position model. The record is from RNAcentral.
UACGAGGGGGGCGAGCGUUGUUCGGAAUUAUUGGGCGUAAAGAGCUCGUAGGCGGUCUGUCGCGUCGGCUGUGAAAACCCGGAGCUCAACUCCGGGCCUGCAGUCGAUACGGGCAGACUGGAGUUCGGCAGGGGAGACUGGAAUUCCUGGUGUAGCGGUGAAAUGCGCAGAUAUCAGGAGGAACACCGGUGGCGAAGGCGGGUCUCUGGGCCGAUACUGACGCUGAGGAGCGAAAGCGUGGGGAGCGAACAGG